Non-coding RNA from Phrynosoma platyrhinos (Desert horned lizard), 69 nucleotides. Lineage: Eukaryota; Metazoa; Chordata; Lepidosauria; Squamata; Phrynosomatidae. The record is from the annotation of a GenBank genome assembly.
GCCAAGGUUGUGUAGUGGUUUGUACAUUGGACUACAACUCUGGAGACCAGGUUCAAUUCCUACUUGGCC